CCUGCUCCUAGAGACAUUGCAGGUGUGCCUGCCAUGUCACAUGUGUGUCAGUAGGUGGCAGAGAGGAGAGAAGCUGUGUCUGUCCUCAGUGUUCUGACCUGUCAACAUCUGAAUGAUUGGUAGCCUAACACU
This is a small nucleolar RNA of Mus pahari (shrew mouse), 132 nucleotides long. RefSeq annotates it as small nucleolar RNA SNORA17. NCBI's taxonomy places the organism in Eukaryota, Metazoa, Chordata, Mammalia, Rodentia, Muridae. The record is from RefSeq and is a predicted model, not a curated record. The transcript has a single exon.